CCAGCUUCUCCAGGACGGGCUUCAGGACCCCCGUCGCCACACUCACGAGAGCCGCCUCCAUGGGUUGCAGGACGUGCUAGCUCGGUUAAUUUUACGUGGGCAGGGCGUAGAUCUGAUAAUUAGAAACAGUAAUAUUUCAACGAUUAAUAAUCCGAGUGAACCUAAUUAAAUUCAUCAAACAAGAACUACACAGACGCGGUAUCGCCAUGCUAGACAAGAGCAGAAAGAAGCACAGCACGGGAGGUGGAUGGGGUCAUAGUUACCGGGAUCUGUACGUCGAUCGAUCAGACUCCGGCGACGCGUCAGGCAGGUGCAGCAGCGAGGCUUGUGCAGUGGCGGAAAAGCAUGGAGCAAGGAGAGGAUCGAAAUAUCUGUGUUGUGUGGGUUUAUUAGCCAGCAAAACGCGU
This 407-nucleotide long non-coding RNA is filed under the name Triticum aestivum (bread wheat). RNAcentral's name for it is "long non-coding RNA (TAES_LNC012763)". Lineage: Eukaryota; Viridiplantae; Streptophyta; Magnoliopsida; Poales; Poaceae. The record is from RNAcentral.